GAGUUUGAUCCUGGCUCAGAACGAACGCUGGCGGCAGGCCUAACACAUGCAAGUCGAACGAAGUCUUCGGACUUAGUGGCGGACGGGUUAGUAACGCGUGGGAACGUGCCCUUUACUUCGGAAUAGUCCCGGGAAACUGGGUUUAAUACCGAAUACGCCCUUCGGGGGAAAGAUUUAUCGGUAAAGGAUCGGCCCGCGUUGGAUUAGGUAGUUGGUGGGGUAAUGGCCUACCAAGCCGACGAUCCAUAGCUGGUUUGAGAGGAUGAUCAGCAACACUGGGACUGAGACACGGCCCAGACUCCUACGGGAGGCAGCAGUGGGGAAUCUUAGACAAUGGGGGCAACCCUGAUCUAGCCAUGCCGCGUGAGUGAAGAAGGCCUUAGGGUCGUAAAGCUCUUUCGCCAGGGAUGAUAAUGACAGUACCUGGUAAAGAAACCCCGGCUAACUCCGUGCCAGCAGCCGCGGUAAUACGGAGGGGGUUAGCGUUGUUCGGAAUUACUGGGCGUAAAGCGCACGUAGGCGGACUUGAAAGUUGGGGGUGAAAUCCCGGGGCUCAACCUCGGAACUGCCUUCAAAACUCCAAGUCUAGAGUUCGAGAGAGGUGAGUGGAAUUCCGAGUGUAGAGGUGAAAUUCGUAGAUAUUCGGAGGAACACCAGUGGCGAAGGCGGCUCACUGGCUCGAUACUGACGCUGAGGUGCGAAAGUGUGGGGAGCAAACAGGAUUAGAUACCCUGGUAGUCCACACCGUAAACGAUGAAUGCCAGUCGUCGGGUAGCAUGCUGCUCGGUGACACACCUAACGGAUUAAGCAUUCCGCCUGGGGAGUACGGUCGCAAGAUUAAAACUCAAGGGAAUUGACGGGGGCCCGCACAAGCGGUGGAGCAUGUGGUUUAAUUCGAAGCAACGCGCAGAACCUUACCAACCCUUGACAUCCUGUGCCGCGUCCAGAGAUGGACCGUUCCCUUCGGGGACGCAGUGACAGGUGCUGCAUGGCUGUCGUCAGCUCGUGUCGUGAGAUGUUCGGUUAAGUCCGGCAACGAGCGCAACCCACAUCCUUAGUUGCCAGCAUUCAGUUGGGCACUCUAAGGAAACUGCCCGUGAUAAGCGGGAGGAAGGUGUGGAUGACGUCAAGUCCUCAUGGCCCUUACGGGUUGGGCUACACACGUGCUACAAGGGCAGUGACAAUGGGUUAAUCCCAAAAAGCUGUCUCAGUUCGGAUUGUUCUCUGCAACUCGAGAGCAUGAAGUCGGAAUCGCUAGUAAUCGCGUAACAGCAUGACGCGGUGAAUACGUUCCCGGGCCUUGUACACACCGCCCGUCACACCAUGGGAGUUGGGUUUACCCGAAGGCGGUGCGCCAACCUUUUGGAGGCAGCCGACCACGGUAAGCUCAGCGACUGGGGUGAAGUCGUAACAAGGUAGCCGU
This 1423-nucleotide ribosomal RNA is filed under the name uncultured bacterium. Its description in RNAcentral is "bacterial SSU rRNA". It matches the Rfam family "Bacterial small subunit ribosomal RNA". The record is from RNAcentral.